Molecule: ribosomal RNA, 432 nt
Filed under: uncultured bacterium
Lineage: Bacteria
Description: partial 16S ribosomal RNA
Rfam family: Bacterial small subunit ribosomal RNA
Source: RNAcentral
AACGAACGCUGGCGGCAUGCCUAACACAUGCAAGUCGAACGAGACCUUCGGGUCUAGUGGCGCACGGGUGCGUAACGCGUGGGAACCUGCCCUUAGGUUCGGAAUAACUCCCCGAAAGGGGUGCUAAUACCGGAUAAUGUCUUCGGACCAAAGAUUUAUCGCCUUUGGAUGGGCCCGCGUUGGAUUAGCUAGUUGGUAGGGUAAAAGCCUACCAAGGCGACGAUCCAUAGCUGGUCUGAGAGGAUGAUCAGCCACACUGGGACUGAGACACGGCCCAGACUCCUGCGGGAGGCAGCAGUGGGGAAUAUUGGACAAUGGGCGAAAGCCUGAUCCAGCAAUGCCGCGUGAGUGAUGAAGGCCUUAGGGUUGUAAAGCUCUUUUACCCGGGAUGAUAAUGACAGUACCGGGAGAAUAAACUCCGGCUAACUCCGU